This 464-nucleotide unclassified non-coding RNA is filed under the name uncultured Basidiomycota. RNAcentral's name for it is "sequence contains ITS2". The stretch from base 1 to 155 matches the Rfam family "5.8S ribosomal RNA". The record is from RNAcentral. Lineage: Eukaryota; Fungi; Basidiomycota.
AACUUUCAGCAACGGAUCUCUUGGCUCUUGCAACGAUGAAGAACGCAGUGAAAUGCGAUAAGUAGUGUGAAUUGCAUUAUCUCGUGAAUCAUCAAAUCUUUGAACGCACCUUGCACUUUUAGGUUAAUCCAGAGAGUAUGCCUGUUUGAGUAUCAGUAAUAUUUAUCCAAGCCAAUUGGGAUUUGAGGCUCUGACAUUGACCUGUGUACCGUCGUUGUUCAUUGCAUUGCGCAUUGAUCAUUGCGCGUUCCGGUCCGUCAGUGCUUUUAAAUGCAGGCUCAUAAGAGUGUAUAGUUUUCCAAUCUAUUCUUCAACAGUGUGAUAAUUGGCCUUGGCCUCUAUGUCCACCUAGUAGGGAUGUGAUCUUUGGCAGGCAAUGCUCGAGCAUAUAAAGAAUUUUACAUUUUGAUCUCAAAUCAGGCAAGACUACCCGCUGAACUUAAGCAUAUCAAUAAGCGGAGGCU